Molecule: ribosomal RNA, 492 nt
Filed under: uncultured bacterium
Lineage: Bacteria
Description: partial 16S ribosomal RNA
Rfam family: Bacterial small subunit ribosomal RNA
Source: RNAcentral
AGUGAACGCUGGCGGUAGGCCUAACACAUGCAAGUCGAACGGCAGCACAGUAAGAGCUUGCUCUUACGGGUGGCGAGUGGCGGACGGGUGAGGAAUACAUCGGAAUCUACUUUUUCGUGGGGGCUAACGUAGGGAAACUUACGCUAAUACCGCAUACGACCUCCGGGUGAAAGCAGGGGAUCUUCGUACCUUGCGCGAUUGUAUGAGCCGAUGUCGGAUUAGCUAGGUGGCUGGGUAAAGGCCCACCAAGGCGACGAUCCGUAGCUGGUCUGAGAGGAGGUGCAGCCACACUGGAACUGAGACACGGUCCAGACUACUACGGGAGGGAGCAGUGGGGAAUAUUGGACAAUGGGCGCAAGCCUGAUCCAGCCAUACCGCGUGGGUGAAGAAGGCCUUCGGGUUGUAAAGCCCUUUUGUUGGGAAAGAAAAGCAGCAGGUUAAUACCCCGCUGUUCUGACGGUACCCAAAGAAUAAGCACCGGCUAACUUCGUG